GAUGAACGCUGGCGGCGUGCCUAGUACAUGCAAGUCGAGCGAACAGACGAGGAGCUUGCUCCUCUGACGUUAGCGGCGGACGGGUGAGUAACACGUGGAUAACCUACCUAUAAGACUGGGAUAACUUCGGGAAACCGGAGCUAAUACCGGAUAAUAUAUUGAACCGCAUGGUUCAAUAGUGAAAGACGGUUUUGCUGUCACUUAUAGAUGGAUCCGCGCCGCAUUAGCUAGUUGGUAAGGUAACGGCUUACCAAGGCAACGAUGCGUAGCCGACCUGAGAGGGUGAUAGGCCACACGGGAACUGAGACACGGACCAGACUCCUACGGGAGGCAGCAGUAGGGAAUCGUCCGCAAUGGGCGAAAGCCUGACGGAGCAACGCGGCGUGAGUGAUGAAGGUCUUCGGAGCGUAAAACUCUGUUAUUAGGGAAGAACAAAUGUGUAAGUAACUAUGCACGUCUUGACGGUACCUAAUCAGAAAGCCACGGCUAACUACGUG
This 497-nucleotide ribosomal RNA is filed under the name uncultured bacterium. Its description in RNAcentral is "partial 16S ribosomal RNA". It matches the Rfam family "Bacterial small subunit ribosomal RNA", at positions 28 to 507 of the family's 1533-position model. The record is from RNAcentral.